GUCUGUGGCUCAGUUGCAGAGCAUCUGCUUGGCAAACGGAAGAUCCCAGGUUCAAUACCCAGACCUGGCAUCGCCA
Molecule: transfer RNA, 76 nt
Filed under: Sphaerodactylus townsendi
Lineage: Eukaryota; Metazoa; Chordata; Lepidosauria; Squamata; Sphaerodactylidae
Description: tRNA-Ala
Rfam family: tRNA (bases 4-70)
About the family: Transfer RNA (tRNA) molecules are approximately 80 nucleotides in length.
Source: RNAcentral